GGAAAGACCUUCUACCCAUUACUGCACUUAAUUCUGGGCAGCACUGUAGGACUGGACAUUUGGCUGAAGUCACAAAACAGACACAAACAGAAUGAAGCCAGUGGUGACGACUGAGAAGCUGACCCGCCUCUGGCAUUUGUCCGUAUCCACACUAGAGAUGGAACUCCCAGGUGACUUUUGGGCCUGCCAGUUUCCCAUGCACAGGGCCACUGAAUCCGGCUGAGAGAAGAGAGCGAGAUUGAGACCAAAGUGAAGGUAUCCAUUCUCAUUACUUGAAUUCAACAUACUACCGAAGGCUCCAGCCACUGUAGCAAGAUGGUUAAGGAAAAGAGUGGCCAAGCCUGAGCUGAAAACAGGCCUGAACUCACACUGGAAGCUGCCCUCCACAGUACCCUUGAUCACAUUUAUCACUCGUUGUCUCCUGCAUUCUUCAACCCACAUGCCAAAGGACAGAAGGAGACCCCGAUAGACGCCUUCUUGGAAUCCUGUUUGCCAUGUAUCCCUGAUUUGCCAGCUGGACAACAAAGGAAAUCAGGCUUGUUGGCAUAGCUCCUUAUUCUUUGUAAACCUCUGGUGACUUGAGUGAUCACUGUCUCCUUUCUAAGCACUUGCACAGCAUCCUUGGAUUCUUGCCUAAGUUCUGCAGCAGGAUUUCAUGUCUGUAGUCAAACUGGACACUCACUUCCCACGUUCCUGCUCUUGGUGUCAUCUUUCUAGUCUCCUCCCCUGUCUACAGGCAGUCAUGAUGACCCACAGUGGAGCAGUGGUCCUGGCCACCCAUUCGUUCAACAAGUGUAGACAGUUUAUCUAUUUGGGUAUAUAAUUUAUUUUGGCCAAGAGGCUCAAACUACUAUUGAGAAAAGUUAGAAGCAAAUCACAUUUUUCUUAUGGUCUUGUUGGGCUUAAAUUUCCUCUUAACAAUAUUUGUUUUGCCCGUUCUGUCCAAAAUGAUUUAGUUUGAUGGGGAAGACUGAAUUAACAUAAAAAUUGAGUUUUGGUUUCUGUUUAUCAUUCAUCAGCCUUUCCCUCACUGACCUCUGGCAGGAGAUCUAUCUUUUCAGUUCCCUUUGAUUCUAUGAGGACAGCGUAUGAUAGUUUAAGUGGGUAAGAACAUGGCUUUGAAGUGUGCACCUGGACUAGAUGACCGCUGCCCUGGAGCGGGGGACCAGGCUUUUCCAGGUUUCUAUCUUCUGCCCUAAAAAGUGUGGCUUAUGAUGCUGUCCCAUCAAGUCACUAUAUAAAUUAGAAGAAAUUAGAAGUCUGUCUCUCAUAGGCACUCUCUAAGUGCCAAUUCAUAAGCUGUUUUUUUAUUCAGGUAUUUGUUUAAGUUUACAAGUUUUGUUCCCUUGGUGUUUUCACAUCUUUAACAUGAAUAUUGCAUGCUAUGUCACUCUGUUGCAUGGAUCCUUGCUCACAUCUCAUCUUUCCAUUUGUGGGCAUGCUUUUCCUUAAAUGCAAAGGAUCAAUUAAGACAACAUGAAUACAUAGCAUAGUGUUUAGUUAAAAAAAAAAGUCAGAUACAAAAUAACAAAUUUGUGGGAUUUCAUUUAUAGAAUGUCCAUAAGCAAGCAAAAUGAAGUGUAAUAUUUAGAUGCAUACUUAUGUAUGAGAAUUAUUCAUACCAGCAGGUGAGUGACCCUCACCACUCACAAGUAAGGUCCUUCAGAGGAGAGGGAGGGUGGAGGCCUGGCAGUUUACAGGGGCCUGGGAGUGGUUAGACUCAGGCGGUGAACAUGGUGUGAUGAUGUUAUGGUGACUCAGUAUGCCAUCUAUCCAUAUUGUAUGGAUGUUUGUUUAUUCGUCUUGUGCUUCAAAAUAAUUUGCUUUAAAAAAGGUUACAUAAAGCUAAUUUAAAUAUAUAUAACAUGUGAAGAUGGGAGGAAUAAGCAUAUUUUAUUACAAACUUAGAAAAUGCUCAUUAAGCUCGAUUAGAUUUUACUGUUAUUUUAAAGUAAGAAGGACCAAACAAAUGAUGAGUAUCUUUGCUCUGCCUUGAAGUAAUCUUUAUCAUUGAAGCUGAGGGCUUCUCUUGUGACUUCCGUCUUCAAGCUGGCAAUUCCUGUCUGAUUUCAACGCAGGUGUGCCCCGGUGUCAGGUUGGGGUGUAUUCCUGGAGGCUUCGUAGAUGCUAUGCUGGGGAAACUCCUGUGCCCCCACCACUGUUUUGUGUGUCUUCUCCACUCCACCUCAGGCAGCUCCAGCCCUCCACCCUCCCCUACAAGGCAGCCUCUCAGUCUAGUAAAGCAGUGUUGGGUCGGACGCAAUUGUGGACCAGAAAAAUAAUCCAAUGCACUGCUUUAAACCUGUGACUUUUUUUCCCCAUUCCUCUCAUCUUUGGACUUAAUUUCAUAGGUGAAUAAAAUCCCAUAGAACCCAAUGCAUGUCUACAAUAACGAAGGAAAUGAGUAUGAAUAUUUUUCAAAUAGCACAUUGUAAAGAAUGUACCAGCCAUCCAGCAAAACAAAUUUCUUUUGCAUGUACAGUACAGCUAUGUGCUCAAAGCUUGGAGAAAUACGCUUCCGGUCCUGACAGGAUGCAGUGAACACAUUUAUCUUUGUUCUCCCCCACUAAGUUCACCUAUAAACUGCGGAAGUAACCAAAGGAAAACAGUGGAAGGUAGUAAAAGAAAGGUGAAUCGGCUUGGGAAAAAAGUGGCAGCAGGAUGUCUACAGCUCCUUUAUCAACAGAAGGCAGCCCAGACCCUGGGCUUUACAGCAAACGGCAGCCCACAUGGGCCCAUUCCUCCCUGGAAUGGGAGGGGCUCUCUCACAGCACCACUAACAAGGGUUUCCUUGACCGGCCAGGGAGUGCAGCUCCUUCAUUCCCUCUCCACCCAGAAAUACCGAUAGGAGGAUUUCAUUACAACAAGCCCCGGGCCAGGAAAGCCUCUUCGUUCCGACAAGCCUGAGACUCCCUGCCCCAUGAGGACACACUGGAGUGGGCUGGCAUGACCAACCCGAGGGUCCCGGCCACAGCCAGCAGGCUCUGUGUCUCACAACCCGAGACUCGCCUCCCCUAAUCAAGAGGCACCAGCAGACCCACACAAAUAAGUUGAACUGAGUUUCUAAUAGUCUUAAUUUUUCACAGCAGUUUCAGGUUCACAGGAGAAUUGAGAUGAAGGCACAGAGUUCCCAUAUAUGCCCUGUCUCCUGGCAUGCACAGCCUUCUCCACUAUCAGCCUCACCCACCAGAGUGGAGCAUCUGUUACAAUUGAGGGACCUCCACUGACACAUCAUCAUCACCCGGAGUCCAUUGUUUACAUUAGGGUUCCCUCUCGGUGUUGUAUAUUGGACAAAUGUAUGAUGAUAUAGAUCUGUCAUUACAGUGUCAUAUAGAGUAGUUUUGUUUUAAAAUCCCCUGUGCUUCACCUAUUUAUUCCUCCCUUCCCCCUAACCCCUGGCAACUGCUGAUUUUUUUGCUAGCUCCAGUUUUAACUUUUGCAGAAUGUCGUAUAGCUGGCAUCAUACAGUAUGUAGACUUUCAAGAUUGUCUUAUUUCACUUAGUGUUCCGCAUUUAAGUUUCCUCCGUCUUUUCAUGGCUUGAUAGCUCAUUUCUUUUUAACAUGGAAUGGUAUUUUAUUGUUUGUACCACAGCUUAUGCAUCCAUCCACCUACUGAAGGACAUCUUGGUUGUUUCCAGGUUUGGCAAUUAUGAAUAAACUGUUAUAAACAUCCAUGUGAGGAUUUUUGUGUUAACGUAUUUUUUAACUCCUUUGGGUGAAUAUCAAAGGGUUAGUCCUCGUUUAUUGUUAUUUUUUUUAUUUUUGAGACGGAGUCUCACUCUGUCACCCAGGCUGGAGUGCAGUGGCGUGAUCUUGGCUCGUUGCAGCCUCCACCUCCCAGGUUUAAGCGAUUCUCGUGACUCAGCCUCCCGAGUAGCUGAGAUUACAUGCGCCCACCACCAUGCCUGGCUAAUUUUUGUAUUUUUAGUAGAGACAGGGUUUUGCCGUGUUGGCUAGGCUGAUCUUGAACUCCCAACCUCAGGUGAUCCACCCACCUCAGCCUCCCAAAAUGCUGGGAUUACAGGCAUGAGCCACCACACCUGGCCUAUUCCUGGUUUAUGUGGUAAGAAUAUAUUUAGUUUUGUCUGAAACCGCCGCUCUGUCUUCCACAGUGGCCAUACCAUUUUGAAUUCCUGCCAGAAAUGAAUGAGAGUUCCUGUUGCUCCACAUCCUCACCAGCGUUUGGUGCUGCCAGUGUUCUGACUUUGGGCAUUCUAAUAGGUGCUGUGAUUCUGGAGAGGCAUUUGUCCACUCAGCAUGUAAGGGAGAAGCCAUGCUUUCCUCAGCUGUGCCUGCACUGUAACGGCCCUGUGUCUGUCACUACUGCUGGGGGCACCUGGAAGCGCCCAGACACACAUUUGGGGACCACAGCAAAUCCUCUGUGUCUUGCAUAGCAUCAAGCCAGCUUCUUCCUCACCAGCCUCACCAUCCGAGUUUCUCGUGGGCAGCUUCUCAGUGAACACAGGAAGGCCUAGACCCCACUCUGGGAGCUCUGAGGACCACGGUGUGCACAGGCAGAAGCUUGAUUGUAAAGAGUGUUAACUCUUCAAGGAAAAAAAAUUAAAAAUAUUUUUUAAAGAAAAUGAAGGCCCAGAUGGAAGAGGCCCCCACCUGUAACGCCAAGGUGAGCUCAUCCCCAGGUACCACAAUGACCUGAGGUGCUUGUAAAAGAUGCCGCUCUCUUGGUGCUUGGCUAGGAGCAAGCUAUGGCAUGGAGAACAGGGAUAGACCCACCUGAAAAUCUGGACCUGCUUCUUCGUGGAUGAAGGAAUGUGCACCCAGGAGGCCAGGACCCCUGGUCACCUGCAUGAAAGGUUUGAGGUGGUGCCGCACAUUCCAGAAGGUGAUGUGGUCUCAGAUGAUGCCCAUGGGCACUGUCAGGGUGGGUCCAGGACUGCAGCUGCCUGGGCUGUUUAUUCUGCAGGCAGACAUGCCCUGGGGGCCAGUCUGAAGAGCAGCUCAGAGAAGGUGAUCAAGCUCCAUUUUCAAAAACAAAACAAAAAAGUGAAGACAGACUAACACCCAGUAAACGUGAUGUGAUCAGGGCUGCCACUUCCAGAGCACCCUGAGAGUCAAGACCAAAGAUCACCAGCAGCCUCUGAUUUGAACUUCAGAUUGGAUCUGGAGGCUAAGCAUUCUCAGCCUGCUCUAAAGCUGGACAGGCUUCCUGACACCAGAGCUGGCUGCUGGACCUGAGGAUGCACCACAGGAGGCUGAGCCUCCUCCCACAGCGGGGAGAUGGUGCCCAGGUGAAAGACACGUGUCCUGAGAGAAACCCCUCGGCCCAUCACUCAUCACAGAGGGGCCGGGGAACAGCUCCUACUUUUCUCUCAAGCAGUGAUAACAUGUGAUUUCCCAGGUCAAUCUUGAUUUCAGAAAUGUUAAAAAUAAAUGGGCCUGGAAGACUUGUAAUUUGAGAAUAAGACUUGAAAACAAGUGAAAAGCAGUGAGAACAGAUUUUGGUGCCUCCUAGACUUUUCUCAUUGGCUGCGCACAUUUAGCCUUGAAAGCAUAGCAGUCCUACACCCAUCCAAAAUGAAGGAAACUGUUCUGGAAACAUUUUUACCUUGGUUUCUCCUAAAGCAAGUUGGAUCUCUGUGAUGCUAUCUUGCAUGCUGCUGAAGUCAUUUUCCAGUGGUGUAAUUUUCCUGUUAACUUAAAAAGAGAAGCUCAGCAUUACAUGUCCCUCUGGGCUUCAGACAUCUGUUCCUUCCUCCCAUGUCCAGAAAUAUUAGACAAUUUCUCUCCAGCAUCAAGAGAAACAAAGUGAUGGGAGCUUAUUUCAAUUUUGAGAGAAUCUGAGUUUGUAGGACUAACACAAUGAUCAAUACCAGUUUGACAGUGGAAGGGUGUUAACAUUUAUUUCUUUUUUUUUUUUUAAGGAUUUUAUGAAUCUUUUGUCUCUCAUUUCUUAAGAAUUCUAACUACACUGCUUGAUAUCAUACAAUAAUAAUUUUUCUGAAAACUGAGAACAGAGAUUCUGUUUAGUUAAAACUUCCAAAUCAGUUGUAAAUGUGGGUAUAGUCUGAAUCAUAAUCAAUGCAAUUCAAAGACAGAAGAGAAGGAUGUCAGAGGAUACAGUGGGCAACAGGGAAGACUUCAGGAGACUUCAGGUGGAUCUCCGUAUUUCAUGAACAAAUCCCAGAUUUCCAAGAAAUAGGAAGACGAUUGUCCUGAGGUUUACAGAUCUCUUCCUCCCCCACCUCUCUCUCCUUUUUAAAAAGUAGUUGAAAAAGACUUGAGGUGACUCUAAAUACUUUUAUUUGUUAGCUUACAGUUGUAAAGAAGUUGAACAGCAUUUGUUAAGGUGGCGGGGACUGUACAGGAAGGGAGGGUGUGCAGAAGGACGGUGAUCAUGGGCAGCAGCACCAAGCUCCAGAGGAAAAGAAACAGGCAGAACUGCUUAAAAUCCCUACAAGGAAAAAAAUCAUGCAUAUCUCAGGGUACACAGGACAAGCAUUGUCAUUAGCUCAUUCCGCAACAAAUGUCACUUCUUGUGUGAUUCCAUUUCCAUUGCUCCAUUUUUGUUCAAAGUUGAAAAAAUCUGGUGUCCCUAAGCACGAAAUGGAGUAGGCUUGCAACUCUGUGGAUCUUAUGAUAAUGACACUGGUCCUUCUCCUUCCUUUGACUGUAAAGAACACUGACACAUUAUUAGGAUUUUAUUGGUACCUGUGAGCCUGACGGGACAGCAAAGACAGGGAAGGAGUUCCUGACACACAAGAUAUCACACACACAUGCUCACCGGAAAUUCUUUAAAAGGGGCUUUGAUUUAAACAUUACAAUUGCGAUUUAAAGUGCAAUAACACAGGAAUAUUUUUCUAAGAGACUCAGUUAAGUGUAUGCUAAAUUAAUUGGAUAAAAUAUAAAAUUCUGAGUGCAGGUAUUUAUUUAAAAUUCCCAGUGCUAAAAGUUUUGGGGUGAUAUUGCGAAGACACAGUGAAACAUGGUGUAAUUUCUCUCAGUAAAGGAAUUUGGGUUCCAACCAAAGGAGACAGGAAUGCAUGCAGGCAGUGAUUAGACACUGGGAGGAGAGGCAGCACUCAGUGUGGUCGGAGGCGAAGUGGAGGCAGGCUCAGGGCUGCAAAUGGGACUGCUGGUAUUCUAGAGACAGCUGCUUACUUUCUAGUUCAGCUGUCUAAAAACCUGUCCUGGGCCUGGAAGCAGGGUGCAUCUGGAGUAAAGGCUGCUUUAGAGUUUAGCUCCCACAGCAAGGUGGCAUCAUUGUAGAUCUUGACACAGGUAGCUCCUGGGGCCACUUUUAAGUUCCCUUCUGAUGUGUUGUCCUUUUUGGGACAGGUGAAUAGAGCAAUCAGAAUUGCUGCAAAUGAAGACAUUGCCCCUGAGUUGAAUGAGAGAUCUAUUCACUUCAAUCACUGUCAUUUUCCUUAAUAAUGAAGACACUAAGUUAUGACAAAUGUCUCCAUUACCUACAUCUAUGGGAAAUUAACUGAUAGAGCUUGGUACAAUAAACAGAAAAUUGAUGAGAAAAAAUUGGGGAGAAAAUUUAACAGCCAGGCCCAAAACUGAAGAAAUAUCUCCCACAGACUGUGGUUCUGUUCUGUGCAAAUAUUGUAGACUUUUACAUAUUUUGGUUGAUAAAAUAUGCUGAAUGAGACGCCCUCACAUUUGGGUAAACCAACUACAUUAUACAAAUAAAGUUUUGGAAGUAUCUUUGUGCACUGUGACUAAUAAUAGGAAAAGAAAAAUGGGGGUUGAAAAGAAAUACUCUGAUUUGCCUUGAGAGUUUUUUUGGUGCUUGAAAUAUUUCCUCGAUAUUCUUCAUAAGAUGUUAGAAAAUCUCUAUGUCCAAUUUAAUUAUAUCUUGGUCUUCUUUUUUGGUUCUUGUGAGGAUCUGGGUUUGGAGACCAAAGCACUCCAGGAAGGCAAGCGUGUGAAUGCUUGUGAGCUCACUGUCUUCUUGCUAUCUAUUCCCCAACCUGUUUUAUUAACCAUCAGAUUACAGAAACAGGAAAGCCAAAAAUUCUCCAAGGGGACUCCACUUCCAAUUCCAGUUCUUACUCGUUCUUCGUAGAAUAGGCCUUUGCGGCCUCUUUCCUGACCAGCGUCCUCACCUGGUGCUCAGAACCUCAUGUUGUCCAAAGUAGGACCCUUGACAACAUUUCAAAGACCCGAGUGACUCUGGCUGUUUCUCUGAAAAGCAAUAAUAGAAGCCUUCCAGAAAAUGGCCUUUAAUAACUUGGCAUAAACUCAACUCAAAUAGGGACCUCUCUACCUCUUCACCAGGCUCAAUACUGUUAGGGAAACUUAGCUAGUUCUGAUCCAAAAAAGGAGAUUGCUGAGGACAGUCCCCUUCAGCUGAGCACUUAAAACCCUGCCGUCCAGAGCCGUCCACCAAAAGGCAAAAUGACUGCUCCUCCCUCAACUUCUUCCUUUAGGAUAUUGUGUAUUUUUCUAUCCUUGGUUCUUUCUGGAAUAACCCUGACAAGGUGUUCCACAUUUCAACUAUAAAUUUCAUUUUGGUAUUAUAGACUGAAACUGUUUUUAUUUUAACUGAAAAGUUUAGUGAACUAAUUACAGAUUUUAGCCAUUCUGAUAGGUGACACAUCACUAUGAUUUUCAUUUUCAUUUCUCUGAGAGCUAAUGAGGCUACAUCUUUUUAGAUGUGCUUUUUUUAACCACCUAUAAAUCUGCUUUAGGUAUAUGUGUGUUCAUGUCUUUUACCCAUUGUCUAACUGGAUUGUUUGACUUUUUACCAUUGAGUUUUAAGAAUUUGUUAAAUAUUCUGGAUACUUUUUAUUUGUUGGCUAUGUGCAAAUAUUUUCUCCCAGUCUGUAGCUUAUCAUUUUAUUCCUUUCACAAGGGUUUUUAUAAACAAAAGCUUUAAAUUUUGAUGUGGUCCUACUUAUUAAAUUUUUUUGUUAUGGAUUACGUUGAUUUUCUACCUAGUAGUUUAUCAGUUGCUAAGUGAGGUUUUGAAGUCUCCAACUAGAGUUGUGGAUUUAUCAAUUUCUCCUGUCAGCUCCACAGUUUUUGCUUUACAAGUCUUAAAGUUUU
This 9016-nucleotide long non-coding RNA is filed under the name Homo sapiens (human). Its description in RNAcentral is "HSALNT0136529". Lineage: Eukaryota; Metazoa; Chordata; Mammalia; Primates; Hominidae. The record is from RNAcentral.